RNAcentral lists this ribosomal RNA (253 nucleotides) under uncultured bacterium. Its description in RNAcentral is "partial 16S ribosomal RNA". It matches the Rfam family "Bacterial small subunit ribosomal RNA", at positions 524 to 776 of the family's 1533-position model. The record is from RNAcentral.
UACGAAGGGUGCAAGCGUUACUCGGAAUUACUGGGCGUAAAGCGUGCGUAGGCGGUUUGUUAAGUCUGAUGUGAAAUCCCCGGGCUCAACCUGGGAAUGGCAUUGGAUACUGGCAGGCUAGAGUGCGGUAGAGGGUGGUGGAAUUCCCGGUGUAGCAGUGAAAUGCGUAGAGAUCGGGAGGAACAUCUGUGGCGAAGGCGGCCACCUGGACCAGCACUGACACUGAGGCACGAAAGCGUGGGGAGCAAACAGG